Molecule: long non-coding RNA, 1182 nt
Filed under: Fragaria vesca (wild strawberry)
Lineage: Eukaryota; Viridiplantae; Streptophyta; Magnoliopsida; Rosales; Rosaceae
Description: long non-coding RNA (FVES_LNC004636)
Source: RNAcentral
UCGAUUUUGCUCAACUUUAAUCUUCAUUACGUCCAUCACACUUUCAAGUAACGGUCUUCUGACAACCGGGGUACACAGGGGUCUGUUGGAAAGCAAGCAGUUUGUUGUACUUGUCAAUACCAGCAGUGUUGACAGCUCUAGGGAAGGGCUGCACCGGGUCAGGCAUAUACUGUCCUUGAGCGCAUACACCGCUCUCAUAAGGAAACAUGUCGUUGAUGAAGACCGUUGUUGGAUCGUUGGAUGUACUGCCCGUCUCAGAAAAUUGGCCAUGAUCAUACGGACCCCCAGAUGAUGUUUCACCGAGAUAUAACCAACAUGUGUAUUUCUCCCAAAACCCGUUACUCUUCAGGUGCUGCCGUACUUUGUUAAUUGCAAAUCGAUGCAUAUCGUUGCGACACUGACAUUUCGUGCACUGGCAAUAGAAAAUUGUAUUCCCGUUAGCAUUAGCGCUGAUAUUCCAGAAAACUCAUAAUUCUUUUACCAUAUCUUUUGUCCCAUUUUGGAAGCGAAAUCCAACUCUUAUCCAUAUCCUGAAAAUAUAAUAAAAUAUAUAUGUAUAACGCUAGCUAGCUAAUUAUUAAUUAAAUUCUAUGCCAUAUAUAAAAUUUUAAUUCAUUUAUAUAUAUAUUCUACGUACUACAACUAAUUGAUAACAAAUUAAUUAACACAUAUAUAUAGAUAUACUUAAUUAAUAAUUACAUAACAAUAUUAUAUAUAUCAACAUCAUCACAAAAUCAUCAUUAACAACUUCAUACCAUCAACACAAUAUUAUAAAUUAAUUAACAUAUAUAUAUAUCUACUACUUAUUAACAACAACUUCAUAUAUAUUAUCAAAUCAUCAAAAUCGAUAAACCCAACGUACUCAAAAUCUAUCAAUUCAAUCACACUUAAAAUCGAUAAACUCAAAUAAAACUCAAAAUCAACAUAUAUACACAUGUACGUACCUAUAUAUAGCUCCACUUCUUAAUUAUGGAUAGAUUUCAACAACACCCAAACUUUUUCUCCCGUUUUUUCUUCUCCAGUUUUUUUCUCAGAUGAGCUGCUGUCUAGAUCUGCGAAUAUAAAGAACUUUAGCCGACGAAAUUAUAUUUUCGUCGGCUAUAGUCAACUUUAGCCGACGAAAUUAAAAUUUCGUCAGCUAAAGAAUGUUUAAAGUCGUCGGCUAAAGUCUGUGACUUUAGC